Molecule: transfer RNA, 68 nt
Filed under: Callosobruchus maculatus (cowpea weevil)
Lineage: Eukaryota; Metazoa; Arthropoda; Insecta; Coleoptera; Chrysomelidae
Description: tRNA-Ser
Source: RNAcentral
AGUUAAUGAACUUGUAUAAGUAUAUAUUUUGAAAAUAUAAAAAAGAAACAAAAACUUUCUAUUAACUU